UGGGGAAUAUUGCACAAUGGGCGCAAGCCUGAUGCAGCCAUGCCGCGUGUGUGAAGAAGGCCUUCGGGUUGUAAAGCACUUUCAGCGAGGAGGAAGGUGGUGAGCUUAAUACGCUCAUCAAUUGACGUUACUCGCAGAAGAAGCACCGGCUAACUCCGUGCCAGCAGCCGCGGUAAUACGGAGGGUGCAAGCGUUAAUCGGAAUUACUGGGCGUAAAGCGCACGCAGGCGGUUUGUUAAGUCAGAUGUGAAAUCCCCGGGCUCAACCUGGGAACUGCAUUUGAAACUGGCAAGCUAGAGUCUCGUAGAGGGGGGUAGAAUUCCAGGUGUAGCGGUGAAAUGCGUAGAGAUCUGGAGGAAUACCGGUGGCGAAGGCGGCCCCCUGGACGAAGACUGACGCUCAGGUGCGAAAGCGUGGGGAGUAAACAGGAUUAGAUACCCUGGUAGUCCACGCUGUAAACGAUGUCGAUUUUGGAGGUUGUGCCCCUUGAGGCGUGGNUUCCGGAGCUAACGCGUUAAAUCGACCGCCUGGGGAGUACGGCCNCAAGGUUAAAACUUAAAUGAAUUGC
Molecule: ribosomal RNA, 568 nt
Filed under: uncultured bacterium
Lineage: Bacteria
Description: partial 16S ribosomal RNA
Rfam family: Bacterial small subunit ribosomal RNA
Source: RNAcentral